UACGUAGGGGGCAAGCGUUGUCCGGAUUUACUGGGCGUAAAGAGCGUGUAGGCGGCCAAGCAGGUCUGUUGUGAAAACUGGAGGCUCAACCUCCAGACGUCGACGGAAACCGCUUGGCUAGAGUCCGGAAGAGGAGAGUGGAAUUCCUGGUGUAGCGGUGAAAUGCGCAGAUAUCAGGAAGAACACCAAUGGCGAAGGCAGCUCUCUGGGACGGUACUGACGCUGAGACGCGAAAGCGUGGGGAGCGAACAGG
Molecule: ribosomal RNA, 253 nt
Filed under: uncultured bacterium
Lineage: Bacteria
Description: partial 16S ribosomal RNA
Rfam family: Bacterial small subunit ribosomal RNA
Source: RNAcentral